GUCCUUCAUUUACCGAAGUUGGAUCGUGAAGGGUCCGGUUCAUUUGAUCCAACUCGGGGGAACCAAUUCGGCCCUUGUGGCCUUGGGGUGAAGCUUGGGAAACCAAGCCGGGCUCUCCUGCUCGAAUCCGACAGCUGACCUCGAAGGUGCAAAAGGAGAACAC
Molecule: small RNA, 163 nt
Filed under: Schaalia turicensis
Lineage: Bacteria; Bacillati; Actinomycetota; Actinomycetes; Actinomycetales; Actinomycetaceae
Also listed under: 1 other name
Description: Actinomyces turicensis c-di-AMP sequence
Rfam family: c-di-AMP riboswitch aptamer (ydaO/yuaA leader)
About the family: This family represents a conserved RNA structure found upstream of the ydaO and yuaA genes in Bacillus subtilis and related genes in other bacteria.
Source: RNAcentral